UACUGGACAAUGGACCAAAAGUCUGAUCCAGCAAUUCUGUGUGCACGAAGAAGUUUUUCGGAAUGUAAAGUGCUUUCAGUUGGGAAGAAGUCAGUGACGGUACCAACAGAAGAAGCGACGGCUAAAUACGUGCCAGCAGCCGCGGUAAUACGUAUGUCGCAAGCGUUAUCCGGAUUUAUUGGGCGUAAAGCGCGUCUAGGCGGCUUAGUAAGUCUGAUGUGAAAAUGCGGGGCUCAACCCCGUAUUGCGUUGGAAACUGCUAAACUAGAGUACUGGAGAGGUAGGCGGAACUACAAGUGUAGAGGUGAAAUUCGUAGAUAUUUGUAGGAAUGCCGAUGGGGAAGCCAGCCUACUGGACAGAUACCGACGCUAAAGCGCGAAAGCGUGGGUAGCAAACAGG
Molecule: ribosomal RNA, 400 nt
Filed under: uncultured bacterium
Lineage: Bacteria
Description: bacterial SSU rRNA
Rfam family: Bacterial small subunit ribosomal RNA
Source: RNAcentral